This is a long non-coding RNA of Hylaeus volcanicus, 8661 nucleotides long. RefSeq lists it as uncharacterized. The transcript has 2 exons. Lineage: Eukaryota; Metazoa; Arthropoda; Insecta; Hymenoptera; Colletidae. The record is from RefSeq and is a predicted model, not a curated record.
CACUCCUCGAGGGUGAGUUACUCUGCACGGAUGGGGAACCAUGUUUUCCACCCUUCGUUCCAAGUCGCGGCCUGCCGCGACGUACUCUUCGACCUGAACAAGUAGUUUCAUGCGAUAUAUGUUACGUUUCACAGUCAAAGAGCGAAAGAAAGAGAAAGGGGUCAGAAAGAGAAGAACGAUCUUCAGUAAUGACACUGGCCAACAGUAAAUAUGUAAUCUUUGUUUAAGUAAUCAAUUCUAGGCUCGUUAUGAUCCUAAUUAUGAAGAUAAGAAUUCGAUAAAUAUAGUAACUCUACUUUUUCUGAUACAGGGACCGAGAGUGGAAAUGUUGUAGUACCUAAAGAAGGGAACUUUCGCCUACUUUUACAUUUUCUAGCAGACGGUCAUUUGCUUCGUCGUUUUUUAUAACGAUACAUAUUAUGUGUUUCGUUCGAAAUAUUCAAGUACAGGACCAGCUAUGAAACAUACCUGAGCGAGUCAUGACCUGACGAAUGUUGUUUUGGACAAUUUUAUAACUCACUGCUAACCAGUUCUCUAAUACUCGUGUCAAAGUUUUCCAAAAGGCAGAACACUUAUUUUAUUACUGUUGAAAUUAUAGCAAAUACUUUAGAAAUGUAACGCGCAGAACAUAUUUUUUAUAGAUUGAGUUUAUUUCGUUUCUUUCAUUUCUACGAAGGUCAUUCAAUGUAACAUAAAACACUAAUUAGAUAAAGAAUGUACUACAUAUCGACUUGGUAAGUUACUCUAACAAGCAAAAAGCGACGAAAGUAUCGGUUUUUAAUUUUGUUAACAAUGACGCCCCAAUGCUAAUAAUCUGAACAAAAAUUAACAGUGAUAUCUAUUACUGCAAAAAUAUAAUUAUAGCAUCCUUGAAAGUUUUCACCUUUCUUUCGUGUUUUACUAUUUUUUUAAUCAAAAAAUCUGAAAAUAUUCCAUAGUAUAUAUCUUCUUAUCCGAAAUGUCUCCGAUUUGUUGUGUUCAAAAUUUGUCGUUUGAUAGUACUGGAAUAUCUCCUCCCCAAUUAAAAGCCAUUCAAGAUACAGACUUGAAAUCUGCCAUGUAUUAUUUUUUUCUCUCAAUAAGCUAUCGAAUUUGUUUUAGGGGCCACUUUCGAAUCCCUCAUUCGUCUAAAUUUCUAAUUAAUCUCACACGUGAUGAAUCGACUCUUAAGAGUAAUAAACUACUCUUUCCUUAACGUAGAAUUGAUGAAAAUAUGAAACAUGAAAUAAGAAUAUCGAGGUUGAUGUACAAAUCUGAAUACUUUUAUUCACUGAUAUCUUCGCGCUGACAAUUAAAGAGUCGCAUACAAUUAACAUAAAUCAGAACAUUGAUAUCGAUACACCGAUCGAAGAACAGUGGAAACUGUUGUAAACAAACGCGUAUCGGCACGUGUACUCGUUAUCAAUGUCCCAACCUCGGUAGUUACCUAUAUUUAAAUAUCUAUCGUUAAUUUCUCGAAACACCCUUUAUUUCGCCAAGAAAAGUGUUUCUCUAAGUCUUGUUUAUAUGUAUAUUUCACAAGGGAGUCCGAACUGGUAGAAAAUUGGAACGGAAACGAAAACCACUUAAUAUCAGACUUACACAGACACUUAACCGAUAAGUUUGUUAACGCUAGUUUAGUCUCCCAACUAAGUAGCCUGCUCUUCAAUUAAUUAAUUGUCGAAUAAUGCUUUACGCGCAAGCAGUAAUUCUUUCUAUGAGAACCGAUUACAAAUGCUUGACUUUCGAGGCGUCUUUCUAUUCGAUUUGAGACCAACUGGCAAGUAAUUUCAUUUUCCUUUCGAUAAUCUCAAGGUAGUAAGAUUCGAAAUGAGUCGACAUUCGUAAGUUAAAUCGGACAGUUGUUUUUCAUACGGUAAAAGUAAUCACGUCGAUAGAUAAAAUUCAAUCGAAACUAAUUUACGUAUUAUUCGUUAUUCCUGUGCAGUGAAAACCAUUUUAGUACGACUUAACGUGACAAAAAAAUCUUAAGGAGUUAGCACACUUUAAAACUAUGAAAUAAUCGAAUGUUUGCUUUAAACAUUUACUUAUUUCUUAAAAGACCGUAAGCAAAAAAAAAAUAUUUUGAUGUACUUUAAGAUUUGUGUAAUAAAUGCAUUUCACCAGAUUUCUUCUAAGUUCUACCAUAACCGAGAAGUAAAAUGACAAAAAGAGGCGAUGCUUCGGGGUGUCAAAGUGGCCUAACCCUCAUAGUAUAAUACGAUUCCUUUCACUUAGAUUUAAAUUUAAAAGAAUUAUAAUUUGACGAAGGAUCUCAAUAUCACGAAAUACAUUAUAAUGAUAUAAAAAAUGAUACCACCCUGACUAAACAGUUAUGUCAAAGACGAUUGCUAUUCUUUUCAUAACAUCAAGCAAUGUUAUCUAUGGAAGAGUACUUUAAGUAUGUAGUGAUAAUACGAAUCAGAGUAUCAGAAAAAUAUUUUACACUAAAUUCAUCGACGUCUUUGACAUUUAAAAAUAUCCGUACGUAUUAUUACAAAAUACAAAAAUCCUACUGGGCUUCUCAUUAAAUCCAACAUAAAAUAUUUUCUCAUAAAGUAGGAAGACUUACGACAAUUUGAAUGAUAACGAUGAGAACUCUCAUUCCAAGAAUAAGUCAUCCAGAGUGGGCUCAUAUUUUUGAAAGAAAAAAAAAAAAAAAAAUUAGAAUUGGAAAAAUUUCACAACGAUUCACCUCUUAAUAAAAAAUUUUCAUUUCGAUGUUCAGAGUGAUUUUAAGUUUUGCGAACACGAUACGUACUUAGAAAUGUCACAAAUCGAAUAAAGAAACACGGCCAUUUAUUCUUACAAUUUUUAGCUUAAACAGUAAAAACGAAGAACCGAACAAAAAUAGGAACUUAAAAUAAUACGAAAUAUUUAAACAUUCUAUUAUCAUGACUGGAUAUUCGCAAACAACUAAAAUUCUUGCAGCGUAAAUCCGAUUAAAUAACCAUUCCUUAUUGAAUUGUUUAUUUAAAUAUUGCUGUCAAUACACCUUCUUAAUAAAUGGAUUAACCAAUAAAGCGAUUAAUAAGUUAGAUAAGCAAUUUAAUAAGCGACCGGAAAAGGAACUCUAUCGAAAAACCUUUUAACCAUUUUGCAGUCCUAAUGUUUAACUAAGAAGUUGUAUCAUACAUUCAUCGACGGUUCGUGGAUAGUUUAAAUGCUUAUCUUAAUAACAAAUGAUAACUUCUGUAAGAAUGAAGCCAACUGACUAAGUUAACAACAAUUAAUCAGUGGUUUCUCAUGCAUUCCUAUUUUCAUUUUUGUUUACGACCACUGCUUAAUCAUUUACUUUGAAGAAUUAUCUAUAAAAAUGUCUUCACGCAAAUCAAUGUAAAGUACCAUAGAAGACUGCAAAAUGUUUACAAUGUUCUCUUCCGUGGUUUCAUUGCGAAUAUCAGCCUGUACAGAUAAUUGCACAUUUUAAUUACCUAUUCGAUUAUUUAUCGAUCCACCCGUUUUACAUGUUCGGAACCAAAUCACAUGUAAACGGGUAAAGGUAAUUUGAUAUCUUGAAAAAAAUAAUUUACCAAUCUAAUUUGAUACUUAUUCGCUAUUUAUUAGUAUUUAUCACACACAUUCGAACCAAAUUCAUCUGAAACUAAUUUACCUGAAAUCGUUGAAAAAAAUUACAUUCGAAACGAAAAAACUCGUUCCACUUUUUAACUAAAAUACUAGAAUAUCACAUAAUUAAAAAUUCAUGUACGAAUGUAUCCGUUUGCUUCAAGUUUCAUUCUAAACGAUUCCUUAAAACUGAAACGUUCAUUCGGAGAAGAAAAUUGCAAUUAUCUGUUCAGAAAUUCUCGUAAUUGUAAGUACAAAAGCUUAUUUUCAUUUCUUAUCGUAGACAUUAGUAUUCUUUCACAUAGCGAUAAUUAGAACAGAAAAAAGUAAACGAUUAUUCAGUCGUUUGUGUGAAUAAUUAUGAAAUAUUAUUAUUAUUAUGGUGUGUAUGUAUGAAUGUAUGUGUGUGUAUGCUAUGCACUUAGGACAGUAUACAAUAAUAUGCCCUACUAAAUAAAUUUACUUAGAUUAAAGCAAGAUAAAUUUCUACGUCAGAAGAGAGAAAAUUCGAAGAAAAUACACUCGGUGUUUUUCCUUCUACACAUAUACAUGCAAACUUUUGAGAAAAUAUGUCGAAAAUUUCAAUUCCGAUUCCUUCUUUUUCUCUUGUUAAUUUUAUUCAUUCUUCGUAGAAAUUUUAGAAAUACUCUUUUAAUAUAAACUUGAGCGCCUUAUGUAUGGACUUCUUUAUUUUGCGCAACUACAGGAAAAUUAACUUCGUAGAUUUUUUGCAAAAAAGACGUCCGUAAAGUGUCCCAGACUUCGAAUUUUCACUUUUUUUAAAAAUAUCCCUCCAACUAAUUCUCGUACAAAGAAUUUCUACGCUAUGCUUCAAGUUUUUUUUUUUUAUUUUUUUUAAUAUUAUUAAUUUGCGUUUAUUGCGGCUGAAAUUCCGAAAAUAUCCUACGAGAUUAUUCUCAGCAAUUAUCAAGUAAACACGUUCACGUAUGCUUCGAAAUAUCUUUUUAUCUUGCAAAAAACCUAGAAGUCUGGUUUACCUCCGAGCCCUCGGUAAAAAUUCUACAAUCUAAUUCUUAUGAUUUUUCUAUAAAAAUUUUUGAAUCUAUCAUUUGUAAUCCGUUGCAAAUAUUUUGAGGUAUAAUAUUUACUAUAACUCGCUUGAAACUGAAUGUUCGGUAUACAUCGGAUAUUUGUUUUUUUUUUUGUUCUUUUGCAAGAAACAGUUCAAUCCUAAUCUUCUUCAGACUCUCUGCAAAAGUUCUAAGUUGCAAUGUUCUUACUGUUUCGCAAAACAUAACACGUUGGAAUGCAAAGCUGGUGAAUUUUGAAAAACAUUUUACUUUAUUUCUUUCCAGAUACCCUGGCACCUCGUAUCGUUGCCUUAUCAACGUGUUUAAGUAUACCUUUUUUUCAUGUUCUCACGAAAAUUGUACUUCCCCCUCUUUAGCUCUUGUUUACAUUCAGAGAUCAAUAUUUUGUUUGUUCGUUAAUAACUGCAAUUGUGUUUGGAAUACUUUUGCAUACAUUCGUAGUUCAAAAAUUUCUCGUUUUCCUUUUCUUCGAAAAUUCGUGGAACUUUCUAUUUAUACGCUUCUGCAAAAAAUUCUGAAGAACAAUAGCUUCUAUUUAUUCACAAGAUUUUUUAUUUCAAUAUCCACAAUUACUCCGCGAAGGUUUCAAGAUUUAUCCAUUUUUUAUUUUUAGAGAUUUAAAAAUCUUAUGAAUACAAUAAUCCCAAAUCGUUGCAAAAAUGUCUACAACGGUACGUUUCCUAUUGCUUUCCCUCUGCGCGGAUUUAAUUCAAUUCGUUCAAUUGGCCAUAAAAAUGUCUGGAGUUUAAUCUUCCGAAUUCUUUGCGAAAAAUACUGAAGAAUAAUGAUAUCCAUUUUUUGCAAAACUUUUUGUUCCGUCAAACAUGUACAAUAAAAAUUUUGUCGCGAAAUUUGCCAAGUUGUAGUUCCGGUUUUAAUUUGAAUUUCGUGCGCACGUUCGUUUGCAAAAAAGGAUUUCCCAAAAUAGAUUUGCAAAAAGUAUUGCAUUAUAUCACCUUGGAUUCUCGUUCGGUGAAUUGUUUAUCACUGAAAUUAACAACCGGGAUCUUAUUUAACGCAGAAAGCUAUAAUUUACAGCUCGAUAAUUUUUCAUUAUUUCAAGAUAAGUAUUAAUCGAUAAAUAUCUUAUUAGUAGUGCUUACUUUAUGCUAAAGUAGUUCUUAUUCAUUUCUUAAACGAUACGCAAGUUGAAAAUUCGCCGAAAAUAAAUAAACACCACGCCGAGAAUGAUAACCGAGAAGAAACAAUAUUUACAUGUUUACCUUGAAUUUAUUCGUAAAGCUUGUCGAAAUCAUAGCAAAAGAGCGUAGACGUCGAACCGAAAUUUGUUAACGUUAAUUCCAAGCCUUGAGUACUAAUACUGUCAAUAACAAUGUAUAUUUAAAUUAAUAAUCACAGGUGUCCCACUUCUAUCUUUCCACGCGAUUGUCAUCAAACCUUCGAUUCUAUUUCGAGUAAAUAUGCUGUUGGCCUAUAUUUCGUUCCAAAUUUAGGCGAUUUCAGAUUCUACCGAUGCUAUUUUUUCUUUGCUUUCUGGUUACCUAAAUGUUAUUUAAAGACAUCCUACAAAUUUGAUUUUCUCUUGUUGCAUUUUCUCGGAGUUUUAAGUAUAGAGAAAAUAUAUCGAACGUGUUCCAGUUCAAAAAACCGUGCAAAUCAACAAGAAUCUGUUUUCCUGUUUAUCAUUUUAUACCGUAAUAAAUUUUUAUGCAAAGGUGAUCGUGUUAUAUACAACUUAAAAAUAUUGUAGUCUCUUUCGUGAAUGUAUGCUUUAUUUAGACCGUUACAUAAAUUAUGGAGAGGAAGCAAAUUCGAACUAUCAUUUCAUAAGAGUUCAGGCUGAACAGUAAAACAUCGAAAAAAUCUCGUAAUAUCAACGAUGCUUUUAACCCAAGUUUUUUUUUUUGUAAACUCAUGGUGUAAUUUACUGCUUCCAAAACCCCGUAAUUUAUGCAAUUUGAAUAAACGAAUCUAUUUCACGUUGGCAAGAAUGUGUUGAUUCCAGUCAUUCUUAUUCUGAUUAAUGAAGUUUGAUUUUAGAAGUGCCAACAAAUUUCUCCCUCGAAAUAGAGCAAGUUUGAAGAUGGUCGCGUGGAAAGACCCAAAUGAGACUUGAAUUUAUACAAGGUGUUCAGAAACACGCGAAGCAGUUUCCUCAGGUUUCAUUUCUCAUAAACAAGGAAAUAGUCAUCUACCACUUUUCAAUCUGAGAUCUUCGUUACUAUAUCAGUAGUUAAGAUACAAUUGCAACCUUUGGCCUGUAAAUUAACAGAGUAAAUUACCUGGCCAUUAGAUUGAGACUAAGUUGGGACCACCAUGUUGUCUCAACUCGGUGGACAGAGGAAUUGAAAUUCAAUCUGCUCUUGCCCCUCUCCCCAAAUUUUAUUUUGGGUAAAAGAGUAUGAAAUAGUAGAGAUCUCUGAGAAAUGGUCAAAGCCAGCUUUUGCAACCUGAUAUAUUGUCUGUCAAAAUGACGGGGAAUCACUUCGUCUCAACCCGAGGGACGUUACUGUAUUACUAGAAAUGAUCACAAAUGUGGAAAACAGACUUUUGAUUAGUAUUGCCAUGAGUUAUCCUGACGAAAGGUCGCACAUGUCUGAGCCCUGUUAAUUUGAACACCUUGUAUGUACAUGUAGAAUCAACUAUUAUCUUAUGAAAUAUUUCCUCUACCUUUGGUAUUUAAAAAAAAAAAUGUUUUCUACAGUGUUGCAUGAUUUCGCUAAGAGUAACGUACACUAACACUAUUUUAAAAGACAGCAAUCCAAAAUAAUUGUCAGAACAGAAAUCGUUCGGAUUGUCGUGUGUGUUGCGUGCACUAAUAAAUAGGGUAAUUAAAUUGUUUUGUCUGAAGUAUACAAUAAUCCAAAUGAUAUUGACUGAAAAGAGAAUAUUUUCAUGUUAUAAAGUUUUAAAUAAUGAAAACUAAAGUAUACGUAUAUAACAAUAUUCUUGAAGGGUUCAAUGUUUUCCUACGCAACAUUAUAACAUUUUUUUUGAAAAUAUAACAUCUAGAAUUUAAGGUAAUUUAAAAUAAUAAAUUGUGAAUAUAAAUUCAUAUUGAUAGUAAAUAUCUCUUAAUUUUCGUAAUUAGAUCUUCAAUGUUUAAUAAUGUAAAUGUUUAUGAACACACGAUGUAGGAAACACUGUCGUCUGUGCGUGUAAACAUCUUCCACCUUGAUAGAUUUAUCAAAAUUUACAAUAUACAACACUGUAAAACAAUGUUUUUCUUUUUUUAACACCACUGGAUGUAAAGUAAACAUCAUACGAUAAUGCUAUACAGGACACAUGGUAUAUAUCACUCAAUAGAUGAGCAGUAAUCCAAUUUUUUAACAUAAAACAAAUUUCGUCAGCAUUUUUCAUCUCUUAUUAAUCGAUACAUUUCGUCACAAUAAUACGUACGUACGCUGUCAAAUGAAUUAAAAGUUAUUCGACAUGAAACAAUUUAAUUUAAAAAAGAACUUUAAAGCGGAACAUUUCGCGAAAGAAUUGCACCGCUGCAAUCCAAUUGAUAAUCCAAUUAUACAUUAUCAAUUAACGCGACAUUAGUGUACUGAUACCUUUAAGUAUACGAUUAAUAUCUAAUUGCUCAUCGAUCACUUCGGCAAUGAAUAGACUGAUAAGUUAUACUUUAAGGCUUUAGUUUUCAGUAUUUCAGUUUCAGUUGUUGCGCAAAGCUAUCGUAAAAAUUGUACAUAAUCGAAGCGUAAAUUCGGCGUACACAACGAAACUGAUAAACGAUCACAUUCAUAAUUAAGACCACUCAGCUAUCGUUCUAAGUUAAACGCUAAUCAAUGGUUCGCACUUCGAACUGUGAACGAAAGAAGAAUUUUUAAUUUUAUAUGAAACUGCAUUAAUACGUCUCACGUACAAGUCUAGCAAGAAGUAUAAGAUAGCAGGAAAUUACGUGAAAAUUACAUGUAACCCUAUGGAGUUUUAAUACUGAUGAACUAACUACACUUACACUCGAGACAUUGCACUAUCGAUUACUGUAUAACUGGUGGAGCAAAUCUAGCGAUCUAGAUCAGACACGAGCGAUCCGUCGAGACAAUCUUGUUGGAUACCGGUUAUCAAUUGUUUUUCACUAUAGGAAAACGAUCUACAA